This 1116-nucleotide ribosomal RNA is filed under the name uncultured bacterium. RNAcentral describes it as "bacterial SSU rRNA". It matches the Rfam family "Bacterial small subunit ribosomal RNA", at positions 283 to 1401 of the family's 1533-position model. The record is from RNAcentral.
AUAGGGGAACUGAGAGGUUUAUCCCCCACACUGGUACUGAGACACGGACCAGACUCCUACGGGAGGCAGCAGUGAGGAAUAUUGGUCAAUGGACGCAAGUCUGAACCAGCCACGUCGCGUGAAGGAAGACGGCCCUACGGGUUGUAAACUUCUUUUGUAAGGGAAUAAAGUGAGUCACGUGUGGCUUUUUGCAUGUACCUUACGAAUAAGGAUCGGCUAACUCCGUGCCAGCAGCCGCGGUAAUACGGAGGAUCCGAGCGUUAUCCGGAUUUAUUGGGUUUAAAGGGUGCUCAGGCGGGCCAUUAAGUCGGCGGUGAAAUUUUGCGGCUCAACCGUAAAAGUGCCUUCGAUACUGGUGGUCUUGAGUGUGGAUGAGGUAGGCGGAAUUUGUGGUGUAGCGGUGAAAUGCAUAGAUAUCACGAGGAACUCCGAUUGCUAAGGCAGCUUACUAAGCCAUAACUGACGCUCAAGCACGAAGGCGUGGGGAUAAAAGAGCAUUNGAUCCCCUGGUAGUCCACGCAGUCCCCCAUACGGGCGGCUGUUUGCGAUAUAUUUUAAGCGGUUGAGCGAAAGCGUUAAGUAAUCCCACCUGGGGAGUACGUUCGCAAGAAUGAAACUCAAAGGAAUUGACGGGGGCCCGCACAAGCGGAGGAACAUGUGGUUUAAUUCGAUGAUACGCGAGGAACCUUACCCGGGCUUGAAAUGCAGAUGACAGGCGGCGAGAACCGUUUUUCCUUCGGGACAUCUGUGUAGGUGCUGCAUGGUUGUCGUCAGCUCGUGCCGUGAGGUGUCGGCUUAAGUGCCAUAACGAGCGCAACCCUCAUCGUUAGUUGCCAUCAGGUCAAGCUGGGGACUCUAACGGGACUGCCAUCGUAAGAUGUGAGGAAGGUGGGGAUGACGUCAAAUCAUCAUGCCCCUUAUGUCUAGGGCUACACACGUGCUACAAUGGUCGGUACAAUAAGACGCAAGCCCGCGAGGGGGAGCAAAACUGGAAAACCGAUCUCAGUUCGGAUUGUAGGCUGAAACUCGCCUACAUGAAGCUGGAGUUGCUAGUAAUCGCGAAUCAGCAUGUCGCGGUGAAUACGUUCCCGGGCCUUGCACACACCGCCCGUCAAG